RNAcentral lists this ribosomal RNA (317 nucleotides) under uncultured bacterium. RNAcentral describes it as "bacterial SSU rRNA". It matches the Rfam family "Bacterial small subunit ribosomal RNA", at positions 28 to 334 of the family's 1533-position model. The record is from RNAcentral.
GACGAACGCUGGCGGCGGUGCUUAACACAUGCAAGUCGAACGGGGUGACGAUGAAGGCUUGCUUUCGAUAAUAGCCUAGUGGCGAACGGGUGAGUAACACGUAACUAACCUGCCCUUCAGUGGGGAAUAACCCGGAGAAAUCCGGACUAAUACCGCAUACACUUAGUUAUCCGCAUGGAUGAUUAAGGAAAGAUUUAUUGCUAAGAGAUAGGCAUGCGUUCCAUUAGUUAGUUGGUGAGGUAACGGCUCACCAAGGCAUCGAUGGAUAGGGGAGCUGAGAGGCUUAUCCCCCACAUUGGGACUGAGACACGGCCCAA